CUCUUGCAGCAAUCCAUGAAUUGGUUACUAUUAUUAGUUUACAUUGAAAAGACUGAGCUUGCUAAUGGUGGUGAACUUCCCCAAGUUAAAAAGAGGUGAAGAGAUUGAGCCAGCUAUGUCUGUCCCCUUUACUAGGAAAGAAAAGGUUUUCCCAGAACCCUCGCUGGCAGACUGCUGCUUGCAUAUCACUGGUGUGAUAACUAAAUAACACGUCAAUCCUCACUUCAAGGAAAUCUGGAAAAUCUAGUCGGUGUUUCAAGUGAACGGCUAUAAGGAAGAGGUUGGGUCCAGCACCCUGCAGGUUUGCCAUAAUCCAUAACUGUUAACCAGGGGCCUCUCCCUAUACUAGCUGACCCAAAUCUCCAGGGAAUCAACUUAAUUUUUUAAAAGCAUAUUCAAUAUGCUUCCAUACAUGGAAACAUUUAAAAUGAGCAGUAAGUUUAAAGGAAAUUAAACUUAAUAUCUUCUUCCAUCUGAGAAUCUGUGAGAGAUGUAAUGAUCAAUAUAUGGUAUGGGAGACAUUUUAAAAAUUUAUUUUAUCCAAGUAUAGUUGAUUUACAGAGUUGUUUUCAUUUCUUCUGCACAGCAAAAUGAAUUAGUUGUACAUACAUAUACUUUUUCAUAUUCUUUUUUUUUUUUUUUUUUGUCUGCCAUAUGGCAUAUGGAGUUUCCAGGUGAGGAAUCAGAUCUAAGUCACAGUUGCAACCUGAGCUGCAGCUGUAGCAAUGCUGGAUCCUCAACCCACCAUGCUGGGCUGGGCAUCAAACCUGCAUCCCAGUGCUCCCAAGAUGCUGCCAAUCCCGUUGUGCCCAGACAGAACUCCAUUUUUCAUAUUCUUUUCAAUAUGGUUUAUCACAGGAUAUUGAAUAUAGUUCCCCUUGCUGUACAGUAGGACCUUGUUGUUUAUCAAUCCUACAUGUAAUAGUUUGCACCUGCUAAUCCUAAACUCCCAAUCUGUCCCUUCCCUACCUCCCUCCCCCAUGGCAACCAGAAGUCUGUUCUCUAUGUCUGUGGGUCUGUGUCUGUUUCAUAGAUAAGUUCAUUUGCGUCAUAUUUUGUCAUAUAUUAGAUUUGAGAAUUUUUCUAUUUAACCAAAGGGGGCAUGAAUUUAAGCAGGUUAAAAUGCAUGGGAUCAGGAAGUGAGCACUAUGGACACUACUAGGAGACAUUAUCUGUAUUACCAAGGGCUUUUCAUGAAAUAGAACCAACACACACACAUGUAUGGAGACAGAGAGAGAGAUGGAGAGAGAGGUUUGAUUUAUCAGGAGGAAUGUAAUUAUGGAGGCUUAGAAAUCCUAAGAUCUGUUGUAUGCAAGCUGGAGACACGGGUAAGUCAGUGGUAUAAUUCAGAGUCCAAAGACCUGAGAACCAGGGAAGCCAAUGAUCUAAGUCUCAGUCCAAGGGUGGGAGAAGAUUGGUGCCCCAGCUCAGACAGGCAGAGAGCAAAUUCUCCCUUCCUCCACUUUUUUCUUUUGUUUGGGCCCUCAGCAGAUUGGACAAUUCCCACCCACCCCAAGGAGGGCCAUCUGCUUUACUCAGUCUAACUCAAAUGCUAACUUCUUCUGGAAACACCCUCACAGACUCCUCCCAAGGUGAUUUUUAGUCAAAUAGCUGGGCACGUGUGAUCCCAUCAAGUUGACACAUAAACUUAAGCAUCACAUUAUCCAAUACCCUGAAAGUUACAGGAAUGCUAACAACCACAUACAAAGAGGAGUCAACUGCCCUCUUUGUCAGCUUCAACUCAUCUAGCAAAAGGGGCCAGUGUGUUCUCAGGGAUCCUACCUCAAGUCAAGUUGCAAGGUGUCACAAGCAGUUUGGUGACAGUGUCAUCUCUUUCUAAAGUGCAAGCAAGAUCCACAGGGGUAGGGAGAAAGGGAGACACAUGCUGUAAACCAAGGCCAGGGUGACGUGCCUUGUCUGGCUAUGUUUUCCUUCAGGGUCACUUGGCCUAGAGUGCAGUCAAGUUCAGGUGAUUUGAGGAAAAGCUCCUCCAUUCCACAUGACUGCUAAUUGCCCAAGAAGCAAAGCACAACGGAAAUAGCAGGCAGAUAUGACUCCAAAUGUUGGUGAUGACUGUAUUUAACCUUUCCUAAAGGAACAUUAAAAAGGCUUUAAUGCUUUGGUAGGGGGAAUCCCGAUGUGUGAAAAAAGAAACAGACAUUUGCUGACAAGAGUCUCUUUCCACCUGAAGGAACCGUGCCAGAAUCAAUUUCUAAUAGGAGUGAAGGCUAAUGAGAGUGCAUUGUCAAUUGCAGGCACAUUCUGCCUUCUCUUCUACAUCUCUAAAGGCUCCUCUGGACAGACCGUAAAUUACCCUGACCUUAAAGAAAAUGUUCACACUAAGGCUUUGGUUUUUAUGAACAUUCCACCUGGACGGUCUGACCCAGCUUUAGAUAUAAUAAGAAAGAAGCCAAGAACCAGCUGAGCCACACAGAGCCAAGGCUCAGGCCUGGCUCGAUGAUGAUUCAGGCCUUGCCACCCAUAUAUCUAAGAAAAGAGCAUUAUUUCCAUAAAUGAUAACCAAACCCAGGGCUGAUUUGGAAUAGCUACUUGCUAUCCCAAAUUGGCUUUGGCUGUCAUUAAAAUUACAGUGACAUUUAGGGAUUUCUUACAGGUUGCAGAAAGCUAUGGUUGAGAGCAUCAUAUCAUCUUUUGUUUGUGGCCAGGAUACUGGCUAUUGUACUAGGCAGCAUUCUUGACUGAAAAUGUAGACACCAACUCUAGGUCUGUACCAGAUGCAUUUUAGGAUCCCACCAAGUAUCCGUGUGUGUGGCACAGCGCCAUGAGCACUAUAGGCAUCACGGUCCCGCAUCCUGUCUGUUGGCAAUGCUGCACUUCAUCCCCCUGGGCAUGCCCUCUAUGCUCCUGACUCUACUGAGUUAUCACCAGCUGACUAGUCUCUCAAGAUUCAGCUUGGACAGCAGCACCUUACAGUUUGUACUGAGGCCACAUGGCCAUGUUCAAGCUCAAGCUGCCAGGGGAUGGGGAAGUUCUCCACACAGAAAGGGGAUCCAGUGCAGCCAAGCAAUCAUGCUCACUGAAGGUAAAUU
Molecule: long non-coding RNA, 3050 nt
Filed under: Sus scrofa (pig)
Lineage: Eukaryota; Metazoa; Chordata; Mammalia; Artiodactyla; Suidae
Description: lncRNA (ENSSSCG00000056079.1)
Source: RNAcentral